AGUGAACGCUGGCGGUAGGCCUAACACAAGCAAGUCGAACGGCAGCACAGUAAGAGCUUGCUCUUACGGGUGGCGAGUGGCGGACGGGUGAGGAAUACAUCGGAAUCUACUUUUUCGUGGGGGAUAACGUAGGGAAACUUACGCUAAUACCGCAUACGACCUACGGGUGAAAGCAGGGGAUCUUCGGACCUUGCGCGAUUGAAUGAGCCGAUGUCGGAUUAGCUAGUUGGCGGGGUAAAGGCCCACCAAGGCGACGAUCCGUAGCUGGUCUGAGAGGAUGAUCAGCCACACUGGAACUGAGACACGGUCCAGACUCCUACGGGAGGCAGCAGUGGGGAAUAUUGGACAAUGGGCGAAAGCCUGAUCCAGCCAUACCGCGUGGGUGAAGAAGGCCUUCGGGUUGUAAAGCCCUUUUGUUGGGAAAGAAAAGCAGCAGGUUAAUACCCCGCUGUUCUGACGGUACCCAAAGAAUAAGCACCGGCUAACUUCGUG
RNAcentral lists this ribosomal RNA (492 nucleotides) under uncultured bacterium. RNAcentral describes it as "partial 16S ribosomal RNA". It matches the Rfam family "Bacterial small subunit ribosomal RNA", at positions 29 to 507 of the family's 1533-position model. The record is from RNAcentral.